UCUCCUAUGGCGCAAUUGGUGGCGCGUCUGACUGUUAGUCAGCACCUAGCAGGUCAUCAGAAGGUCGUUAGUUCGAUCCUAACUGGGAGAG
Molecule: non-coding RNA, 91 nt
Organism: Ceratobasidium sp. AG-I
Lineage: Eukaryota; Fungi; Basidiomycota; Agaricomycetes; Cantharellales; Ceratobasidiaceae
Source: the annotation of a GenBank genome assembly